GAUGAACGCUAGCGGCAGGCCUAACACAUGCAAGUCGAGGGGUAGAGGAGGCUUGCUUCCUUGAGACCGGCGCACGGGUGCGUAACGCGUAUGCAAUCUACCUUGUACAGAGGGAUAGCCCAGAGAAAUUUGGAUUAAUACCUCAUAGUAUAAUUGAAUCGCAUGAUUUAAUUAUUAAAGUUCCAACGGUACAAGAUGAGCAUGCGUCCCAUUAGCUAGUUGGUAUGGUAACGGCAUACCAAGGCAAUGAUGGGUAGGGGUCCUGAGAGGGAGAUCCCCCCACACUGGUACUGAGACACGGACCAGACUCCUACGGGAGGCAGCAGUGAGGAAUAUUGGACAAUGGGGGCAACCCUGAUCCAGCCAUGCCGCGUGCAGGAAGACGGUCCUAUGGAUUGUAACUGCUUUUAUACAGGAAGAACGCAAUUACGUGUAAUUGUUGACGGUACUGUAAGAAUAAGGAUCGGCUAACUCCGUGCCAGCAG
Molecule: ribosomal RNA, 485 nt
Filed under: uncultured bacterium
Lineage: Bacteria
Description: bacterial SSU rRNA
Rfam family: Bacterial small subunit ribosomal RNA
Source: RNAcentral